AUAGCUCAGUAGAUAGAGAACUUGCUUCCCAAGCAGUUGGUCCUGGGUUCAAUACCCAGU
Molecule: transfer RNA, 60 nt
Filed under: Cricetulus griseus (Chinese hamster)
Lineage: Eukaryota; Metazoa; Chordata; Mammalia; Rodentia; Cricetidae
Rfam family: tRNA
About the family: Transfer RNA (tRNA) molecules are approximately 80 nucleotides in length. Their secondary structure includes four short double-helical elements and three loops (D, anti-codon, and T loops).
Source: Rfam by way of RNAcentral